Apis dorsata (giant honeybee) is the source of this 1988-nucleotide long non-coding RNA. RefSeq lists it as uncharacterized. The record is from RefSeq and is a predicted model, not a curated record. The transcript is spliced from 2 exons. NCBI's taxonomy places the organism in Eukaryota, Metazoa, Arthropoda, Insecta, Hymenoptera, Apidae.
AUAUACAAUUUUCUCUUCUCGGUCCCAACGACUAAAGUUUCGUUCUGGCCGAUGUAAAAAAUUCUUAUUUUCCUGCUUGAACAGCAAUUUCAAAGCGCGAUAUAUGUUUUUACACAGGCCAUAAAAAAAAAUUAAUGAAAUGUAAUAGUCGAUAAUUAUUUUUACAACUUUAUGUUCAUUGUUUAGUAUAAAGAUGCAAACAUUGAUGCUUUUUUAGAAAAAGGAAAAAAAAAAGGGAUAAAGAUAUAAUUCACGAUAUAAUUUCAUGCAUUUUUUGAUGUGUACUUAAGCUUGUCAGUUAUCGAUGCGCGAUAACUAUGAAUUUAAGCGCAAUUAAUAUGUUUCUGUACUUUUAACGGAUAAUUUAUGAUUUUCCUUCACUGUACUUUCUAUUGUAUGGAAUUCAUAAAUUGUACAAAAGAAAGUGAAAGAAUGAGAAUCAUUAGCGAGCGUGUUACAAGAGACACUAGGAAGAAAACAACGAUAUUGCGUGUUAUGGCUUAUUCCGCUUGCAAGGGAGAAAACCUUGAAGAGUCGCUUAGUGCCUGCCAUUUAUUAGCAUUAACUCGAAUAUUUCUAACAACACUGCCCUUGUAAAUAUCAUAAAUUUAUACAUACGAAGCAACUUCGUCGACUCUUCAUGGUAGUGUCUUGACCAGCCAGUGUUUCACUGUGAUCGAGUCGUAGUAUUGGAAUACUUUAUAGUUCUAAGAACAUUAAACGAGAUAUAAGGAAGAAAAUAUUUCAAUACGUAUGACGUAAAAGUUAUUUAAAAAAAGAAAAAAGAAAAAAGAAAAAGAAAAAGAAAGAUCAGCACUGCGCGAUUAAUGAAGAGUCGGUCGACACUUCUCCGAAAGAUCAAAUGCGGUAUCGUGUCCGUUUUUCAUUGGAUCUCAGGGUCAUUGAUGAAUUAUACGUAUCGUGUCAAGUCGUUUGAUGGAUGUAUACGGCAAGUAAUCAUGAAAAAAACGAAGGGUAUAAACGCAAUAACCCUGAGUCCCCACGCCCCCUAUAUUGUGUCUAGUCUCGGAAAAGGAAACUGCAUUGUUCUCAUUUUAUAUGAUACGAUCCUUUUUUGUGCUGGCGCAAAUGUGUACGUACUAACGAAAUAAAAUCUUUAUAUGAGACGACCUCCCUAUUUCCCUGUUAUCGAUCAUCGAUCAUAAAUUAAGAAUAAUUAACAUUACAGAUUGGACUAUUAUUUGAUUUUAUAAAAUAUUAUUGUUAUCGAAGGAUAAAAAUGAUCAUGCAGAUUGACUAAUGAAUUCAUUCGUUAAGUUUGUCACAUAAAUGUAAAAAAUUGAGCACGAAAUUCGUUGUUCAAAAAUUUAAUUGGUCGAAGAAUAGUUUCAAGAUUGAAAUAAAUUAUUUGCAAUUAAGGAUACAUAUAUUUUCAUUGGUUGAUGAGCGCAUCGAUCGCAAGCAACGCUUGGCGCCACUACAGCCUUAAGGGUGACGCCAUGUUGGUGGGACGAGGCGUAAAAAACAUUGUCUAGCAAAGUAAAGAAAUCAGUUUUGUUUGAAAAAAUUCUAAUAACGAUUAAUUGUUAUAAUCCAAUAAGAAAAGAAAGGAAAAAAGAGAUAUUAAUAAAAAAAAUUAUUCUAAUGUUAAAGCAUUAAUUGUCAAUUGAUAAAUAUUUUUCAGAGGUAAUUUGACGAAUAGUGCCAGCCCUGCUUAAAGGGGCGCGUAAUUUUAUUCGAUAAAAGAUACAGAGCUGGAUACAUAAACUCAAGCACCCUGCAAGCUCGUUAAUUUCCAACAAAAAUACUCGAUCUAUUAAUCAAUUUUAUAUUUAUUAAACGUAAUUAUAUAUUUUUAGCAAAUAUCUUUAGCAUAUACCUUUUUAAGAGGAUACAUGAUACAUAUAGAAAAAGUGAACAAUGAAUAAGUAAAAUGGUGAAUUUAUAACCAUUUUAUACCGUAAUACGAAGAAUAAAAAAUUAUAUGCGUUAGGUAAAGUUUUAUAUGUAUUAAAUUUUUAUUAAUA